GGGCAGGGGCCUUGGGAGCUCCUUGGCCUAUCUUAUUGCCGCUACCAGGCACUCCUUCCCAGCCUUUCUUUCCCAGGCCCCAGCCGGAGCCUGGAGUUGCUAUGGCAACUUCAGAGGAACCCAUUUCCUUAGUGAUAUCUAUGGUACAGAGUCUGGCCCGGAGCUUGGAGCUGCCAGCAAGAGGUCUCCUCUGCCGUCCCCAAUUUCUCUUCAGGCCUCACCCAGUUCCCAGAGUUCAUUCCUUAAGGACUCUUGCCCUCCACCCCCACCCCAAGUAGACUGUCUCCUUGCUGGCGUCCCCACCCUUACCCCUUCCUUCUCUUCCAGGCAGGGGUGGGUCUACAGAGUGGGUGGUGACUCAGGUAGUCUAAAAUAUCCUUAUAUCGAAGCAGCCAAAGAACUUAGGCUCCUGGAUGGUACUGUACUAUUUCUUCUUUCCGUGUCCCCAGAAACCGAGGCAGUUGGACAGGAGCAAAGGCUUAGGGUUCACGAUAUCUGUCUUCUGUUCCUAGCACCAAGUCUUAGCUGCCACCUUGGGAGGGCACUGAUUCUCUUUGAACCAGCCUCAAGUUUAUUUAUCUGUAAAUAGAGACAGUAUCAAUUGUUCUGUUGAGGGACUUCUGUAAGGAUUUUUUUUUCUUAAAAA
RNAcentral lists this long non-coding RNA (646 nucleotides) under Rattus norvegicus (Norway rat). Its description in RNAcentral is "long non-coding RNA NONRATT029538". Lineage: Eukaryota; Metazoa; Chordata; Mammalia; Rodentia; Muridae. The record is from RNAcentral.